This 309-nucleotide unclassified non-coding RNA is filed under the name uncultured Aspergillus. Its description in RNAcentral is "sequence contains ITS1". The stretch from base 1 to 105 matches the Rfam family "5.8S ribosomal RNA", at positions 50 to 154 of the family's 154-position model. The record is from RNAcentral. Lineage: Eukaryota; Fungi; Ascomycota; Eurotiomycetes; Eurotiales; Aspergillaceae.
GAAAUGCGAUAAGUAAUGUGAAUUGCAGAAUUCAGUGAAUCAUCGAGUCUUUGAACGCACAUUGCGCCCCCUGGUAUUCCGGGGGGCAUGCCUGUCCGAGCGUCAUUGCUGCCCUCAAGCACGGCUUGUGUGUUGGGCCCCGUCCCCGGGGGAGGGGACGGGCCCGAAAGGCAGCGGCGGCACCGCGUCCGAUCCUCGAGCGUAUGGGGCUUUGUCACCCGCUCUGUAGGCCCGGCCGGCGCCAGCCGACACCCAACUUUUAUUUCUAAGGUUGACCUCGGAUCAGGUAGGGAUACCCGCUGAACUUAA